AUAAGCUAUGUACUAUUGAAGGAGCUUUAGCUGCUGCAAUUCUUAUCCUUCCUCCCUUCAGGUUUUCUUUAGUGUUGAAAUUGAUAUGGAGACGUGGAUGGAGAUUUGAGUCUUAGGAAUUUGGGAAGAACUCAAGUGACUCAGAAUGAAAAGACCUUGGCACAGACCUGUUAAGGAAACUCCUUAUAAAGGCCACCGGGGUUGGCUGAGUCAGAAUAUCAGCCACGUGGCAUGUCUCAUGGGGCAAGAGCUGUGCGCCCAUGGGAGCCCAGAGGAGGAGCACACUGAGGACCAACACCAG
Long non-coding RNA from Mandrillus leucophaeus (drill), 301 nucleotides. RefSeq lists it as uncharacterized. The record is from RefSeq and is a predicted model, not a curated record. NCBI's taxonomy places the organism in Eukaryota, Metazoa, Chordata, Mammalia, Primates, Cercopithecidae. The transcript is spliced from 3 exons.